This 631-nucleotide ribosomal RNA is filed under the name Verrucomicrobiota bacterium. RNAcentral's name for it is "bacterial LSU rRNA". It matches the Rfam family "Bacterial large subunit ribosomal RNA", at positions 1 to 551 of the family's 2925-position model. Lineage: Bacteria; Pseudomonadati; Verrucomicrobiota. The record is from RNAcentral.
UGAUCAAGCUACAAAGAGCGCAUCAUGGAUGCCUUGGUGCCAAUAGGCGAUGAAGGACGUGGUAAGCUGCGAUAAGCUACGGAGAGCGGCAAACACGCUUUGACCCGUAGAUUUCCGAAUGGGAUAACCUGAGUGGGGUAACACCUGCUCGAGCUUCUGUGAAUUCAUAGCAGAAGCAUCGCGACACCCGGCGAAGUGAAACAUCUCAGUAACCGGAGGAAAAGAAAGCGAAUGCGAUUCCGUCAGUAGUGGCGAGCGAAAGCGGAAGAGACUAAACCCAGCACUUUCAGUUGAUUUGAAAACUGUCUCAGCUGUUCGAACUAAUUGUUAGUUCGAAUAGCUGCUGAGAUUAGCGAAGUCGAUUGAAAGUGCUGGGGGUUGUAGGAGCCCGAUGUGGUAGUGCAAAGGUUAGGUGAAGCUUCUGGAAAGCUGCGCCAUAGAGGGUGAAAGGCCCGUAACCGAAAACCGGAGCACGCCUAGGGAUUUCCUGAGUAAUACGAUGCACGUGAAACUUCGUAUGAAGCCACGCCGACCACGGCGUAAGUCUAAAUACUAAUUGGCGACCGAUAGUGAACCAGUACCGCGAGGGAAAGGUGAAAAGAACCGCUGUGAGCGGAGUGAAAUAGUACCU